GGCUAACAAUAACUCCAUUCAGAUCUUGGAAAGAUUCUGUUACUGCCUAGAUUUUGCGAGCUUCCUCAAUGACCAUAACUCCCAUUUUCCACUCUCUCAUUUUCAUCACCAAACCUAAAUUCUAAAACCACAAUCUAACUGACGAUGAUCCAUCUCCACCUCGUCAUCCUCGCAUCUUCAUAGAAAAAUCACUAUCUUGUAUUGUCAUCCUCGUCUCCUUCCCCUUUCUUUAUUUCUCACUCUUUUUAUUCUAUUUUGUGGUAUUGAUUUUUGGUUAGGAGUAUUUUUUUUAGCUUUUGUUUGUGGAUCUAGGGCUGAGUUUUGAUUUCAUAAGUUUGGGAAUCAACUUUAUGAGUUUGGUGAUGAAACGGAAAUAAGGAAUUCUAUAAUGCAUAUUUUAUAAUGAUUUGUAAUGAUAGUCAAUUAAAAAAACUAAUUUACUG
Molecule: long non-coding RNA, 443 nt
Filed under: Lupinus angustifolius (narrow-leaved blue lupine)
Lineage: Eukaryota; Viridiplantae; Streptophyta; Magnoliopsida; Fabales; Fabaceae
Description: long non-coding RNA (LANG_LNC002407)
Source: RNAcentral